UGGAGCUGAAAUCAGUCGAAGAUACCAGCUGGCUGCAACUGUUUAUUAAAAACACAGCACUGUGCAAACACGAAAGUGGACGUAUACGGUGUGACGCCUGCCCGGUGCCGGAAGGUUAAUUGAUGGGGUUAUCCGUAAGGAGAAGCUCUUGAUCGAAGCCCCGGUAAACGGCGGCCGUAACUAUAACGGUCCUAAGGUAGCGAAAUUCCUUGUCGGGUAAGUUCCGACCUGCACGAAUGGCGUAAUGAUGGCCAGGCUGUCUCCACCCGAGACUCAGUGAAAUUGAACUCGCUGUGAAGAUGCAGUGUACCCGCGGCAAGACGGAAAGACCCCGUGAACCUUUACUAUAGCUUGACACUGAACACUGGUCCUUGAUGUGUAGGAUAGGUGGGAGGCUUUGAAGUGUGGACGCCAGUCUGCAUGGAGCCAUCCUUGAAAUACCACCCUUUAAUGGCUGGUGUUCUAACGUGGGCCCCUAAUCGGGGUUGCGGACAGUGUCUGGUGGGUAGUUUGACUGGGGCGGUCUCCUCCUAAAGAGUAACGGAGGAGCACGAAGGUCAGCUAAUCCUGGUCGGACAUCAGGAGGUUAGUGCAAUGGCAUAAGCUGGCUUGACUGCGAGCGUGACGGCGCGAGCAGGUGCGAAAGCAGGUCAUAGUGAUCCGGUGGUUCUGAAUGGAAGGGCCAUCGCUCAACGGAUAAAAGGUACUCCGGGGAUAACAGGCUGAUACCGCCCAAGAGUUCAUAUCGACGGCGGUGUUUGGCACCUCGAUGUCGGCUCAUCACAUCCUGGGGCUGAAGUAGGUCCCAAGGGUAUGGCUGUUCGCCAUUUAAAGUGGUACGCGAGCUGGGUUUAGAACGUCGUGAGACAGUUCGGUCCCUAUCUGCCGUGGGCGCUGGAGAAUUGAGGGGGGCUGCUCCUAGUACGAGAGGACCGGAGUGGACGCAUCACUGGUGUUCGGGUUGUCAUGCCAAUGGCAUUGCCCGGUAGCUAAAUGCGGAAGAGAUAAGUGCUGAAAGCAUCUAAGCACGAAACUUGCCCCGAGAUGAGUUCUCCCUGACCCUUUAAGGGUCCUGAAGGAACGUUGAAGACGACGACGUUGAUAGGCCGGGUGUGUAAGCGCAGCGAUGCGUUGAGCUAACCGGUACUAAUGAACCGUGAGGCUUAACCUUACAACGCCGAAG
This 1183-nucleotide ribosomal RNA is filed under the name Klebsiella michiganensis. RNAcentral describes it as "bacterial LSU rRNA". It matches the Rfam family "Bacterial large subunit ribosomal RNA", at positions 1762 to 2925 of the family's 2925-position model. Lineage: Bacteria; Pseudomonadati; Pseudomonadota; Gammaproteobacteria; Enterobacterales; Enterobacteriaceae. The record is from RNAcentral.